UACGAAGGGGGCUAGCGUUGCUCGGAUUUACUGGGCGUAAAGGGCGCGUAGGCGGACAGUUAAGUUGGGGGUGAAAGCCCGGGGCUCAACCUCGGAAUUGCCUUCAAUACUGGCUGUCUUGAGUACGGGAGAGGUGUGUGGAACUCCGAGUGUAGAGGUGAAAUUCGUAGAUAUUCGGAAGAACACCAGUGGCGAAGGCGACACACUGGCCCGUUACUGACGCUGAGGCGCGAAAGCGUGGGGAGCAAACAGG
This 253-nucleotide ribosomal RNA is filed under the name uncultured bacterium. RNAcentral describes it as "partial 16S ribosomal RNA". It matches the Rfam family "Bacterial small subunit ribosomal RNA", at positions 524 to 776 of the family's 1533-position model. The record is from RNAcentral.